This 253-nucleotide unclassified non-coding RNA is filed under the name uncultured Flavobacteriaceae bacterium. RNAcentral describes it as "contains 16S-23S intergenic spacer region". It matches the Rfam family "Bacterial small subunit ribosomal RNA", at positions 524 to 776 of the family's 1533-position model. The record is from RNAcentral. Lineage: Bacteria; Pseudomonadati; Bacteroidota; Flavobacteriia; Flavobacteriales; Flavobacteriaceae.
UACGGAGGAUCCAAGCGUUAUCCGGAAUCAUUGGGUUUAAAGGGUCCGUAGGCGGGAUAAUAAGUCAGUGGUGAAAGUCUGCAGCUUAACUGUAGAACUGCCAUUGAUACUGCAGGUCUUGAGUCAUGGUGGGGUCGCCGGAACAUGUGGUGUAGCGGUGAAAUGCAUAGAUAUCACAUAGAAUACCGAUUGCGAAGGCAGAUCACUAAUAAUUCACUGACGCUGAUGGACGAAAGCGUAGGUAGCGAACAGG